GAGAGAGAGAGAGGAGAGGAGGAUGCUUGUUAUUGUGGAGCAUCUCAGCCCUGCAGCCUGCGCCUGCGCAUGCUAGGACUGCUGCUGCUGCUGCUGCUGUUAUUCCUGCUUACUGCUAUUAUAUUCCUGCAGCUGCUGAUGCUGUAGCUGAUGCUGUUGCUUGGUUGGUGCUGCUGAAUCAGUGGCCAUUGUGGCUGUUCCUCACAUUAGAGCUUCCUGUCUGAUUGUCUGAUCUCAUCAUCUGAUGAUCUGAUCUGAUGAUCUGAUCUGCAUCUUUCUCCUUUGUGGACAUAUUGAAGAUAGACAGUCUUCAGCAUCAGAUGUCCUCAGGCGGCGAGAGGAAGCUGUAGCAGGUGGCUGUCAGGCCACACCACACGCUGGUUCAGGAAGGGAAGAAGGAGGCAGAGAAGAAACCUCAUUUGAGGAAAUCGGACGCAGGGAACGACUCGGAAAGAGUCUGUGGCCCAUGACUUCAAAUAUAUUUCUCCUUCUGGCCCCCAACAAAAAAG
This is a long non-coding RNA of Astyanax mexicanus (Mexican tetra), 509 nucleotides long. RefSeq lists it as uncharacterized. Lineage: Eukaryota; Metazoa; Chordata; Actinopteri; Characiformes; Acestrorhamphidae. The record is from RefSeq and is a predicted model, not a curated record. The transcript is spliced from 3 exons.